Molecule: unclassified non-coding RNA, 314 nt
Filed under: uncultured Tomentella
Lineage: Eukaryota; Fungi; Basidiomycota; Agaricomycetes; Thelephorales; Thelephoraceae
Description: sequence contains 5.8S rRNA gene
Source: RNAcentral
GAACGCACCUUGCGCCCUUUGGCUAUUCUGAAGGGCAUGCCUGUUUGAGUAUCGUGAACACCUCAACUCUCGUGGCUUGCCAUGAUGAGUUUGGACUUGGGGGGUCUUGCUGGCCUGUGGUCGGCUCCUCUCAAAUGGAUCAGCUUGCCAGUGUUUGGUGGCAUCACAGGUGUGAUAACUAUCUACGCUUGUGGUUUUCCACCAGAUAACCUUCAGUGAUGGAGGUUCGCUGGAGCUCAUAAAUGUCUCUCCUCAGUGAAGACAGCUUUUUGAACGUUUGAUCUCAAAUCAGGUAGGACUACCCGCUGAACUUA